AUUGAACGCUGGCGGCAUGCCUUACACAUGCAAGUCGAACGGCAGCGCGGGGCAACCUGGCGGCGAGUGGCGAACGGGUGAGUAAUAUAUCGGAACGUACCCUGGAGUGGGGGAGUAACGUAGCGAAAGUUACGCUAAUACCGCAUACGAUCUAAGGAUGAAAGUGGGGGAUUCGCAAGAACCUCAUGCUCCUGGAGCGGCCGAUAUCUGAUUAGCUAGNGGUAGGGUAAAGACCUACCAAGGCAUCGAUCAGUAGCUGGUCUGAGAGGACG
This 272-nucleotide ribosomal RNA is filed under the name uncultured bacterium. Its description in RNAcentral is "partial 16S ribosomal RNA". It matches the Rfam family "Bacterial small subunit ribosomal RNA", at positions 30 to 302 of the family's 1533-position model. The record is from RNAcentral.